RNAcentral lists this transfer RNA (76 nucleotides) under Caudoviricetes sp. Its description in RNAcentral is "tRNA-Thr". It matches the Rfam family "tRNA". Rfam says of the family: Transfer RNA (tRNA) molecules are approximately 80 nucleotides in length. Their secondary structure includes four short double-helical elements and three loops (D, anti-codon, and T loops). The record is from RNAcentral. Lineage: Duplodnaviria; Heunggongvirae; Uroviricota; Caudoviricetes.
GCACUCUUAGCUCAGCUGGAAGAGCCGCUGCCUUGUAAUCAGCAGGUCAUGUGUUCGAAUCACAUAGAGUGCUCCA